UUGGUCAGUUAAACCAGCUCUAUGACCUCGCCUCUUUUUUUCCCCCCUUUAAACGUGAAUGACUACAGCUGAAGAAAUAUGGUGGUACAGUUAUAUAUCUGCCAGAAUGCUCACUACACAAAGCCUCAGGGCUGAAGUAAACCUAUGCAGGACUACAACAGCAACAAGUACUUGCAAAACAACCCUUCACCGUGCCCUGCUAUGGGAGUCAGACUAAUAUGCUAGCACCAGGAUCAUUCUUCUCUGCCAGAGUACAAAUUUCCCAUAUCAUCUCUUCUGAAGUUCUGCUGUGAGAAUGGAAUAGCUAGAGAGAGACUAUCUGCUAUUUUUAGACUUUUUCAAAAAGAUGUUUACAGUUCAUUGCUUGUAAUUUUCUUAAAGUUUGGAAAUAUAAUUUUUCCCCUUCACCAAGUUUGUCCUUUAUUGUUUAUCAAAUAUUGACU
Long non-coding RNA from Mauremys reevesii (Reeves's turtle), 443 nucleotides. RefSeq lists it as uncharacterized. The transcript has 3 exons. The record is from RefSeq and is a predicted model, not a curated record. Lineage: Eukaryota; Metazoa; Chordata; Testudines; Geoemydidae.